AACCUGUCCCUGAUGAUGAGAUGGUGUCUUUCAUCCUCUCUGGCCUAGAGAUUGAGUAUAACCCGAUUGUCUCAUCUGUUUUGAAUCGGACAGAUGAAAUCUCUCUCAGUGAUUUGUUUGCACAAGUCACAGC
Small nucleolar RNA from Panicum virgatum (switchgrass), 133 nucleotides. RefSeq annotates it as small nucleolar RNA Z247. Lineage: Eukaryota; Viridiplantae; Streptophyta; Magnoliopsida; Poales; Poaceae. The record is from RefSeq and is a predicted model, not a curated record. The transcript has a single exon.